GAUGAACGCUGGCGGCGUGCCUAAUACAUGCAAGUCGAGCGAACAGACGAGGAGCUUGCUCCUCUGACGUUAGCGGCGGACGGGUGAGUAACACGUGGAUAACCUACCUAUAAGACUGGGAUAACUUCGGGAAACCGGAGCUAAUACCGGAUAACAUGUUGAACCGCAUGGUUCAACAGUGAAAGACGGUCUUGCUGUCACUUAUAGAUGGAUCCGCGCCGCAUUAGCUAGUUGGUAAGGUAACGGCUUACCAAGGCAACGAUGCGUAGCCGACCUGAGAGGGUGAUCGGCCACCCUGGAACUGAGACACGGUCCAGACUCCUACGGGAGGCAGCAGUAGGGAAUCUUCCGCAAUGGGCGAAAGCCUGACGGAGCAACGCCGCGUGAGUGAAGAAGGUCUUCGGAUCGUAAAACUCUGUUAUUAGGGAAGAACAAAUGUGUAAGUAACUAUGCACGUCUUGACGGUACCUAAUCAGAAAGCCACGGCUAACUACGUG
This 497-nucleotide ribosomal RNA is filed under the name uncultured bacterium. Its description in RNAcentral is "partial 16S ribosomal RNA". It matches the Rfam family "Bacterial small subunit ribosomal RNA", at positions 28 to 507 of the family's 1533-position model. The record is from RNAcentral.